This 491-nucleotide ribosomal RNA is filed under the name uncultured bacterium. RNAcentral describes it as "bacterial SSU rRNA". It matches the Rfam family "Bacterial small subunit ribosomal RNA", at positions 28 to 514 of the family's 1533-position model. The record is from RNAcentral.
GAUGAACGCUAGCGGCAGGCUUAACACAUGCAAGUCGUGGGGCAGCGCGAGGUAGCAAUACUUUGGCGGCGACCGGCAAACGGGUGCGGAACACGUACGCAACCUUCCUCAGAGCGGGAAUAGCCUCUCGAAAGAGAGAUUAAUACCCCAUAGUAUCUCGAAACUGCAUGGUUUGAGAUUAAAGCUUCGGCACUUUGAGAUGGGCGUGCGGCUGAUUAGGUAGUUGGUAGGGUAACGGCCUACCAAGCCAACGAUCAGUAGCUGAUGUGAGAGCAUGAUCAGCCACACGGGCACUGAGACACGGGCCCGACUCCUACGGGAGCAGCAGUGAGGAAUAUUGGUCAAAUGGAGGAAACUCUGAACCAGCCAUGCCGCGUGAAGGAUGAAGGUCCUCUGGAUUGUAAACUUCUUUAUAGAAGAAGAAACCCCAUUAUCUUAAUGGGUUGACGGUACUCUAUGAAUAAGCAACCGGCUAAACUCCGUGCCAGCAG